This 500-nucleotide ribosomal RNA is filed under the name uncultured bacterium. RNAcentral describes it as "partial 16S ribosomal RNA". It matches the Rfam family "Bacterial small subunit ribosomal RNA", at positions 29 to 523 of the family's 1533-position model. The record is from RNAcentral.
AUUGAACGCUGGCGGCAUGCUUUACACAUGCAAGUCGAACGGUAACGCGGGGGCAACCCUGGCGACGAGUGGCGAACGGGUGAGUAAUACAUCGGAACGUGUCCUGGAGUGGGGGAUAGCUCGGCGAAAGCCGGAUUAAUACCGCAUACGCCCUGAGGAGGACAGCGGGGGACCUUCGGGCCUCGCGCGGCGGGAGCGGCCGAGGUCGGAUUAGCUAGUGGGUGGGGUAAAGGCCCCCCAAGGCGACGUGCCGGAGCUGGUCUGAGAGGAUGAUCAGCCACACUGGAACUGAGACACGGCCCAGACUCCUACGGGAGGCAGCAGUGGGGAAUUUUGGACAAUGGGGGCAACCCUGAUCCAGCCAUGCCGCGUGAGUGAAGAAGGCCUUCGGGUUGUAAAGCUCUUUCGGACGGAACGAAACGGUUACGGUGAAUAAUCGUGACUAAUGACGGUACCGUAAGAAGAAGCACCGGCUAACUACGUGCCAGCAGCCGCAGUAA